RNAcentral lists this unclassified non-coding RNA (353 nucleotides) under soil metagenome. RNAcentral's name for it is "partial contains 5.8S ribosomal RNA, internal transcribed spacer 2, and large subunit ribosomal RNA". The stretch from base 1 to 120 matches the Rfam family "5.8S ribosomal RNA", at positions 35 to 154 of the family's 154-position model. The record is from RNAcentral.
GAUGAAGAACGCAGCGAAAUGAGAUAAGUAAUGUGAAUUGCAGAAUUCAGUGAAUCAUCGAAUCUUUGAACGCACAUUGCGCCCGCCAGUAUUCUGGCGGGCAUGCCUGUUCGAGCGUCAUUACAACCCUCAGGCCCCCGGGCCUGGCGUUGGGGAUCGGCGGAAGCCCCCUGCGGGCACAACGCCGUCCCCCAAAUACAGUGGCGGUCCCGCCGCAGCUUCCAUUGCGUAGUAGCUAACACCUCGCAACUGGAGAGCGGCGCGGCCACGCCGUAAAACACCCAACUUCUGAAUGUUGACCUCGAAUCAGGCAGGAAUACCCGCUGAACUUAAGCAUAUCAAUAAGCGGAGGA